RNAcentral lists this transfer RNA (90 nucleotides) under Coraliomargarita sinensis. Its description in RNAcentral is "Coraliomargarita sp. WN38 tRNA-Ser". It matches the Rfam family "tRNA". From Rfam's summary of the family: Transfer RNA (tRNA) molecules are approximately 80 nucleotides in length. Their secondary structure includes four short double-helical elements and three loops (D, anti-codon, and T loops). Lineage: Bacteria; Pseudomonadati; Verrucomicrobiota; Opitutia; Puniceicoccales; Coraliomargaritaceae. The record is from RNAcentral.
GGAGAAGUGACAGAGUGGCCGAAUGUGCCUGACUCGAAAUCAGGUGUGCCGGAAACGGUACCGGGGGUUCGAAUCCCUCCUUCUCCGCCA